GCCCUUUUCAUUUGCGCGCGAGUGUCUAUAUGGGUCCUGCCGGUUUCGACCGGCUAUGGUGAUAAACUGCGGCGUGCAAUAGGCGCAGCGGACCCGGGGGCGGUACCCGGCGGCUCCACCACCACCACCCGGUAUCCAGGCCGGGGCCUGCGUUGUCGCAGGGUGAUGACGGGGCCGAACUAGGAUCGACGUGUGUUGAAAAGCGCUGUUUUUGCCCGGGCUGAGUAACCCGUUCAAGGCUCAAAACCCAAUAAGUGCCAACGACAACGACGCACUUGCUCUCGCCGCGUAAUUCUAGGGGCUAACGCCCUGAAGUUACAAAGCUAGAACGCGGUUGGACCGACCGGUCAACAGAACGGAUUCCGGGGGCCCGGGGUGGGCCUAGCAACAGAACCACCCCACU
RNAcentral lists this transfer-messenger RNA (403 nucleotides) under Sphingomonadales bacterium. It matches the Rfam family "Alphaproteobacteria transfer-messenger RNA". From Rfam's summary of the family: Bacterial tmRNA, also known as 10Sa RNA or SsrA, is named for its dual tRNA and mRNA-like properties. Its role is to liberate the mRNA from a stalled ribosome. To accomplish this part of the tmRNA is used as a reading frame that ends in a translation stop signal. Lineage: Bacteria; Pseudomonadati; Pseudomonadota; Alphaproteobacteria; Sphingomonadales. The record is from RNAcentral.